GUACACGCUGUGACUAGCAUAUCAAUAAGCGGAGGAAAAGAAACUAACAAGGAUUCCCCUAGUAACGGCGAGUGAAGCGGGAAGAGCUCAAAUUUGAGAUCUUAAAGGGUUUCCCUUUACGAAUUGUAGUUUAAAGAAGUGUUUUCUGUUGAGGUUUUGGUAAAAGUUCUUUGGAAUAGGACAUCAUAGAGGGUGAGAAUCCCGUAUUUGACCUUUACUUUCAACUUUGUGAUACACUUUCAAAGAGUCGGAUUGUUUGGGAAUGCAGUCCAAAAUGGGUGGUAAAUUUCAUCUAAAGCUAAAUAUUGGCGAGAGACCGAUAGCGAACAAGUACCGUGAGGGAAAGAUGAAAAGAACUUUGAAAAGAGAGUUAAACAGUACGUGAAAUUGUCAAAAGGGAAGCGUUUGACACCAGUGUUGUUUUUCUGAAAAUCCAAUUAAAGAACUGUUUAUGCUAAGUUGUUUAGACUUUAUCAGCUAACUGUUUAGUUUUGAGCUUUUCUUUAAUGCACUUUUCAGUUAACAAGUCAACAUCAAUUUCUUUUGCUGUAAAAAAGCUUGAGGAAGGUGGCUUGAGAUUCGUCUUAAGUGUUUAUAGCCUCUUGCCUAUGCAGUCGGAGAGAUUGAGGUCUGCAGCGUAGAUCCUUCGGGGCUAAAUGCAUUUGUGCUAAGUUAUAGCAUUUUAUAGACAACUUGUUGACUAUGAUUUGUCUUGUAGCUUACUCGCUUAUGUUAUUUUACCUACGCUUAGGAUGUUGACGCGCGUGUGUGCGUG
Molecule: ribosomal RNA, 775 nt
Filed under: uncultured Neocallimastigales
Lineage: Eukaryota; Fungi; Neocallimastigomycota; Neocallimastigomycetes; Neocallimastigales
Description: partial large subunit ribosomal RNA
Rfam family: Eukaryotic large subunit ribosomal RNA
Source: RNAcentral